GAUGAAGAACGCAGUGAAAUGCGAUAAGUAAUGUGAAUUGCAGAAUUCAGUGAAUCAUCGAAUCUUUGAACGCACCUUGCACCCUUUGGCAUUCCGAAGGGUAUGCUCGUUUGAGUGUCAUUGUACUCUCACACUCCCAAUUGCUUUGGAUUGGGAGCGGUGGACUUGGGUGUUGCUGCUUGACUGAGGCUCACCUGAAAUAUGUUAGUGCACCUCUUGAUUGAACAUAGUACGGCGUGAUAAGUGUCUUCGCCGGCUCCUCGCAAAGAGGGUGGCCGAUCGGGAGCUCUGUUGCUUCAAACUGUCUUCGGACAAUCUUCUGGCGACUUGACCUCAAAUCGAGUAGGACUACCCGCUGAACUUAAGCAUAUCAAUAAGGGAGGA
This 384-nucleotide unclassified non-coding RNA is filed under the name soil metagenome. Its description in RNAcentral is "partial contains 5.8S ribosomal RNA, internal transcribed spacer 2, and large subunit ribosomal RNA". The stretch from base 1 to 120 matches the Rfam family "5.8S ribosomal RNA", at positions 35 to 154 of the family's 154-position model. The record is from RNAcentral.